Molecule: ribosomal RNA, 402 nt
Filed under: Massisteria sp.
Lineage: Eukaryota; Cercozoa; Massisteriidae
Description: partial small subunit ribosomal RNA
Rfam family: Eukaryotic small subunit ribosomal RNA
Source: RNAcentral
AUUCCAGCUCCAGUAGCGUAUGCUAACGUUGUUGCGGUUAAAAAGCUCGUAGUUGGAUUUCUGGUUCGGCGUUCCUGGUCCUCGGCCCCAAGUUGGGCCGUGAGUACCGGUUGUGACGCUAGCCAUCCUUCGGGAGAGCGUGCGCGGUGCUUAACGGCGCUGCGCCGCCAUCUCGGUCCUUUACUUUGAACAAAUUAGAGUGUUUAAAGCAGGCGAAUGCCUUGAAUACCUUAGCAUGGAAUAAUAAGAUAGGACUUUUGGCCUAUUUUGUUGGUCUUUAGGACAAGAGUAAUGAUUGAUAGGGACAGUUGGGGGUGCUAGUAUUGAAUGGCCAGAGGUGAAAUUCUUGGAUUCAUUCAAGACUAACUAAUGCGAAAGCAUUCACCAAGGAUGUCUUCAUUA